CGGAUUGUAGUCUGCAACUCGACUACAUGAAGCUGGAAUCGCUAGUAAUCGUAGAUCAGCAUGCUACGGUGAAUACGUUCCCGGGUCUUGUACACACCGCCCGUCACACCACGAGAGUUUGUAACACCCGAAGCCGGUGGAGUAACCUUUUAGGAGCUAGCCGUCGAAGGUGGGACAAAUGAUUGGGGUGAAGUCGUAACAAGGUAGCCGUAUCGGAAGGUGCGGCUGGAUCACCUCCUUUCUAAGGA
This 248-nucleotide ribosomal RNA is filed under the name Staphylococcus aureus. Its description in RNAcentral is "partial 16S ribosomal RNA". It matches the Rfam family "Bacterial small subunit ribosomal RNA", at positions 1294 to 1533 of the family's 1533-position model. Lineage: Bacteria; Bacillati; Bacillota; Bacilli; Caryophanales; Staphylococcaceae. The record is from RNAcentral.